Molecule: ribosomal RNA, 271 nt
Filed under: uncultured bacterium
Lineage: Bacteria
Description: partial 16S ribosomal RNA
Rfam family: Bacterial small subunit ribosomal RNA
Source: RNAcentral
UACGUAGGGGGCGAGCGUUGUCCGGAAUCAUUGGGCGUAAAGAGCGUGUAGGCGGUUCGGUAAGUCCGCCGUGAAAAUCCGAGGCUCAACCUCGGGCCUGCAUUCGAUACUGCUCGGCUAGAGGCAGGUAGGGGAGAUCGGAAUUCCCGGUGUAGCGGUGAAAUGCGCAGAUAUCGGGAGGAACACCGGUGGCGAAGGCGGAUCUCUGGGCCUGUCCUGACGCUCAGGCGCGAAAGCUGGGGGAGCGAACAGGAUUAGAAACCCGAGUAGU